This 253-nucleotide ribosomal RNA is filed under the name uncultured bacterium. RNAcentral describes it as "partial 16S ribosomal RNA". It matches the Rfam family "Bacterial small subunit ribosomal RNA", at positions 524 to 776 of the family's 1533-position model. The record is from RNAcentral.
UACGUAGGGUGCAAGCGUUAAUCGGAAUUACUGGGCGUAAAGCGUGCGCAGGCGGUGAUGUAAGACAGAUGUGAAAUCCCCGGGCUCAACCUGGGAACUGCAUUUGUGACUGCAUCGCUGGAGUGCGGCAGAGGGGGAUGGAAUUCCGCGUGUAACAGUGAAAUGCGUAGAUAUGCGGAGGAACACCGAUGGCGAAGGCAAUCCCCUGGGCCUGCACUGACGCUCAUGCACGAAAGCGUGGGGAGCAAACAGG